CUGAUAAUCAGUUAAACCAUAGCCCUUCCACAAACUUUCCCUCCCCUUCUUCUUCAACAAUCCAACAAACAAAAAUGUCAGUAGCAUCAUCUUCUUCCUUCCCCUGCAUCAAAAUUCAAAACCCAUCUUCUUCUUCAUCAUCAUCCUAUAAUUUCAGAUUUUCUACUACACUUACCAUUAGGAGUUCUCAAGCUGAUGGCCCUUUAAGAAGACCUAUGGUACAACCCCCAACCCCUCUCAAACCUACCCCACCAUCACCACCUUCAACUUCUUCGCCACCGCCUCCGUCUCCGCCUAGUGCUCCGCUUAAGCAGGUUGCAGUGGAG
Molecule: unclassified non-coding RNA, 326 nt
Filed under: Hevea brasiliensis (rubber tree)
Lineage: Eukaryota; Viridiplantae; Streptophyta; Magnoliopsida; Malpighiales; Euphorbiaceae
Source: RNAcentral